UCCCCGGAUCUUCAUGCGACGACGGGUAGCCGGCCUGAGAGGGCGACCGGCCACACUGGGACUGAGACACGGCCCAGACUCCUACGGGAGGCAGCAGUGGGGAAUAUUGCACAAUGGGCGAAAGCCUGAUGCAGCGACGCCGCGUGAGGGAUGACGGCCUUCGGGUUGUAAACCUCUUUCAGCAGGGAAGAAGCGAAAGUGACGGUACCUGCAGAAGAAGCGCCGGCUAACUACGUGCCAGCAGCCGCGGUAAUACGUAGGGCGCAAGCGUUGUCCGGAAUUAUUGGGCGUAAAGAGCUCGUAGGCGGCUUGUCACGUCGGAUGUGAAAGCCCGGGGCUUAACCCCGGGUCUGCAUUCGAUACGGGCUAGCUAGAGUGUGGUAGGGGAGAUCGGAAUUCCUGGUGUAGCGGUGAAAUGCGCAGAUAUCAGGAGGAACACCGGUGGCGAAGGCGGAUCUCUGGGCCAUUACUGACGCUGAGGAGCGAAAGCGUGGGGAGCGAACAGGAUUAGAUACCCUGGUAGUCCACGCCGUAAACGUUGGGAACUAGGUGUUGGCGACAUUCCACGUCGUCGGUGCCGCAGCUAACGCAUUAAGUUCCCCGCCUGGGGAGUACGGA
This 618-nucleotide ribosomal RNA is filed under the name Streptomyces sp. RNAcentral describes it as "bacterial SSU rRNA". It matches the Rfam family "Bacterial small subunit ribosomal RNA", at positions 258 to 886 of the family's 1533-position model. The record is from RNAcentral. Lineage: Bacteria; Bacillati; Actinomycetota; Actinomycetes; Kitasatosporales; Streptomycetaceae.